CAGGUCUUGACAUCCCACUGCCCGGUGUAGAGAUACACCUUUCCCUUCGGGGACAGUGGUGACAGGUGGUGCAUGGUUGUCGUCAGCUCGUGUCGUGAGAUGUUGGGUUAAGUCCCGCAACGAGCGCAACCCUUGAUCUUAGUUGCCAGCAUUCAGUUGGGCACUCUAAGGUGACUGCCGGUGACAAACCGGAGGAAGGUGGGGAUGACGUCAAAUCAUCAUGCCCCUUAUGACCUGGGCUACACACGUGCUACAAUGGACGGUACAGAGGGUUGCCAACCCGCGAGGGGGAGCCAAUCCCAUAAAACCGUUCCCAGUUGGGAUUGCAGGCUGCAACUCGCCUGCAUGAAGCCGGAAUCGCUAGUAAUCGUGGAUCAGCAUGCCACGGUGAAUACGUUCCC
Molecule: ribosomal RNA, 401 nt
Filed under: uncultured soil bacterium
Lineage: Bacteria
Description: bacterial SSU rRNA
Rfam family: Bacterial small subunit ribosomal RNA
Source: RNAcentral